This 252-nucleotide non-coding RNA is filed under the name Schnuerera ultunensis. RNAcentral describes it as "Clostridium ultunense T-box sequence". It matches the Rfam family "T-box leader". From Rfam's summary of the family: Uncharged tRNA acts as the effector for transcription antitermination of genes in the T-box leader family. Lineage: Bacteria; Bacillati; Bacillota; Tissierellia; Tissierellales; Tepidimicrobiaceae. The record is from RNAcentral. RNAcentral also lists the same sequence under 1 other name.
AAAUUAGCUAUGAAGGGAAGAGUAGUCAUUGAGGAAGUUAGAGAGAGUCGGUACUAGGUGGAAAUCCGACACGGAAUUAGUGAUGAAGAACAUCCCUAAGCUUCUAACCGAAAUUUGAUUAAUUCAAAGAGUAGGCUUAGACGGGCAUAGUCCGUUAAAAACUAUACAGUAUCGAAUAUAUUCUGUACUGGUUUGAGCUGAGCCUUUUGCUAAUUAAGGUGGUACCGCGGAAGAAUACCUUUCGUCCUUUAA